Molecule: ribosomal RNA, 475 nt
Filed under: Streptococcus peroris
Lineage: Bacteria; Bacillati; Bacillota; Bacilli; Lactobacillales; Streptococcaceae
Description: bacterial SSU rRNA
Rfam family: Bacterial small subunit ribosomal RNA
Source: RNAcentral
GAUGAACGCUGGCGGCGUGCCUAAUACAUGCAAGUAGAACGCUGAAGGAGGAGCUUGCUUCUCUGGAUGAGUUGCGAACGGGUGAGUAACGCGUAGGUAACCUGCCUGGUAGCGGGGGAUAACUAUUGGAAACGAUAGCUAAUACCGCAUAAGAGCAGUUGUUGCAUGACAGCUGUUUAAAAGGUGCAAUUGCACCACUACCAGAUGGACCUGCGUUGUAUUAGCUAGUUGGUGAGGUAACGGCUCACCAAGGCGACGAUACAUAGCCGACCUGAGAGGGUGAUCGGCCACACUGGGACUGAGACACGGCCCAGACUCCUACGGGAGGCAGCAGUAGGGAAUCUUCGGCAAUGGGGGCAACCCUGACCGAGCAACGCCGCGUGAGUGAAGAAGGUUUUCGGAUCGUAAAGCUCUGUUGUAAGAGAAGAACGAGUGUGAGAGUGGAAAGUUCACACUGUGACGGUAUCUUACCAGA